UGUAACGAGUCGGUCCUUGCCAAGAUCGCAGUCGGCAAGGGCAGCGCCGCGCAAGUGGUGAUGUCCUGGUCGAUAAUGAUUCCCGCAUCGCCUCAGGCUGGCAACAGAGCAGGGAGAAGGGAGCGCUGUGCUCAGUGGCGGGACAGCCG
Molecule: signal recognition particle RNA, 149 nt
Filed under: uncultured Amoebophrya
Lineage: Eukaryota; Dinophyceae; Syndiniales
Description: partial Protozoan signal recognition particle RNA
Rfam family: Metazoan signal recognition particle RNA
About the family: The signal recognition particle (SRP) is a universally conserved ribonucleoprotein. It is involved in the co-translational targeting of proteins to membranes.
Source: RNAcentral